GCACCUCCGCCGCCUCUUCUGGAGCAUCUGGGAUGCUGAGGACGAGGAUGACAGGCUGAGAGAGGCCCAAGAGCGGCAGUGGGGCUCCGGGGACCACUCACAGCACCCCGCACGGCCCCCCGCACGGCGCCCCGCCAUGCCCCGCCGCUGAGCGGGCGGCCCGACCUCACCUGGCAACAGCACGCAAAUGGGAAAGCGCUGGCGGGGGAGAAAGCUGAGGCACCGCACAGCUCUUCUGCCUCAGCUCUACGGACAUCACCUCCCCGGACUGCGUCAGGAGAAGCCUUAAAAGCAGCUCGAGGUCAUCGCUCCGUGCCCCUCUGCUCAGCCCUCCUGAGACCCAGCGCCCAGGUCUGGGCUCCCCACUACGACAGAGACCUGGGCACACUGGAAAGAGCCCAGUGAACAGCAGCCAAGCUCUUGGGAGGACAGAAGCAUCCCUCCUACCACGAGAGAGCUGGGACUGCUCCUCACGCGCCAGUGCCGAGCACAGGGGCAGCAUCACUUCCCUAGGCCAGCCUUUUGUUCUCUGGGGAUGUGGGUGGGCAUUUGCCAGGACUGAUGCCCAGGGCACUCACCACAACAUUUCCCUUCACAUCCUUCUCAUAUAAGCUAAUAAGUCUAUUUCACCUAGUUUUAAUCUAUUUACACACAGUCAGCUACUCUGUAAGCUUACCACGUGUGCCGUUUGCGUGGCUAAAGUUGUGUACAACACAACUUGUGUCCAGGGGUGGGCUCAGGAAAUUUAAGCGUGUUAAUGGAAGGUGUGGAUUUAAAAGGGACUGCACAAACUGCACUGGAAUCACAGAACCAGGAAGGCUGGAAAAGAUCUCUCAGAUUCCCACCAAGUCCAACCCCAUGGUGCCCACUACCCACAACCCCCACAACCCUCCGGGACACCUCCACGGAUGGUGACUCCCCCACCUCCCUGGGCAGCUGUGCCACCACCUCACGGCUCUUUGGGAGAAGAAUCAGCCCCUGACAGAUCGUCUUGCACGUGCUGUGGAAGGAAAGCAAGCACAACGAAGCGUCAAGUCUCAACAAAUACAUCCAAAACCCCAAAUCUGUAAGAAAAUUGGCCUCUUCGUGCAUUUUGGUGGCGAUGUUGGAACUCCUAAAAAAUGAUGUCAGACUGGCAAACACAUAGUCCAGCGCAUAUAGAAAUUUAAUCUCUUAAAAAAGACCUUUGCCUGGUGGAGAAGGCACCGAACCGGAGCCCAGUCCCAGUGUGUCACAGAGAAACCAAUUAUCCCAGGAACACCAAACCACAGAAAACAGCCAGGGCAGAGCAGGCAGCGUUUGAUCCAGGCAGCUCCACUCAAACCAGGGGAGCCUUGGUGCAAAUUCUCAUGGUCUAAAAUUGAAAUGAAAAAAAAAAAAAAAAGGAGCAACAACAAAACUUAACUGUGAGUUGGUAUCAGCACGCCCAAGUGCUUACAAAGAGCAUGAAUGCUCCCAUGGAGAUUGUUCACAGCCAAAUAAGACAGAGGUCAACCACAUCCCCACCUCACAACCAAACCAGUACAUCUAGUCAACACGCUACUUGAAUUAUUUCACAAAAUAAAUUCAACUGAAAAUGCUCAACAGUGAAUUUGUGAGUUAAUAAAGCAAAACAGCACAGAUCUAUCAACAGCAAGAAGUGAGGAACCACGCCCCUGUGAAACGGUGACUUCGGUAGACAGUAAACGGAGAUAUAAAUCCCAUCCAAAUGUGAACUCACCCAACACUGUGUGCCCCACCUGGACUCUGAAGUUACAAUAGGCUUUGCUUAAAACACAACCACCUCCCUCUGGGAAGUAACUGUCUGGGUAUCCACUCAUACUGCCAUGACUUCACAUAAUUAUCCAGAGCAAUUGCAACAGGAGAGUAAGGAUUUUGUUCCAGUUAAAAUUAAAAAGGGAAAUUCUGGUUUUAGUUAAGAAUUAAUUUAGCUCAACAAUUCACAACUAAAACAUUUCAAUGGAGUUUCUUUUAAAAUAUGAUAAAACCUUAAAAAGUCAGAGGGAAGGAGUUAACCAAAGAGCUCCUGUCCAUGUAUAAAUGGCAGCCUGAGGUCUUCAAUACCUCCAGUUUUAACCUCAGGAUUCAAAAGGGAACAUAGCUCUAAUCCAAACAAGAUGCAGCUAUUACCCAACGUUCUUACUGUUUUCCUCUGGUAACAGCCACCUCAGAGCAUCGCCCUGUUUGCUUCCCACCCCUGCAUGCUGACCAUGCUUGAGGGAGAAGCCUGCAUGGCCCAGAGUCCUCACUGCUGCUCAAAUAAACUACUUCAUUUCAGCAAUCAAACGCUAGCACUGCUGAGAUGACUGGCAGAAGCCAACAGCAGCAGGAUUUCACCUCCUUUGUCCUGGUAGGCGGCUUUCCCCCUGCAAAGCAGGCUGUACUUUUGCUCUGCCCAGGUCCUCACUGGGUGACAGCUACUGGCUGCACUGGCAGGGAAAACUCAGUGCUCUGCAGCAUCAGCAGCCUGCUUCUGUCUGCUCUCACGCUUUUAGACACGUAUUGCCUGAGCAUGUCAUUAAGCAGCAGAUUAACACAUCUGACAGCAUUAGAGCAGAGGGUCACUAUGGCUCCAAAUACGUUUGAAUUCCAACUGUCAAGACAGAAGCAGCUGGGGUUUGGUGGCAGGCUUAUGGCUACAGCCCCACUACAAGCACUCGUGCUGCUUCACUAACACUGCCUACAGCUAAAAGCAAACACACAUUUUGUACAGCAUGCUAUUUAGAGCAGUAAAUGACACGGUGGUGAACAGGUCUGUGCCCAACGUACCCUCGAGCUUACAUCUGUGCCACUGCCAAACAGAAAGAAACUGCAUAUGUAGUCCAGCCUUGGAUUUUUCAGUUAUUUUCUCAGCGUCCCACCUCGUGGCGCCAGUGGGAUUACAACAGGAGAGCCGCUGCCUCCUUCUUCGCCGGCCUCGUGAUGCUCACCUAUGGGGCGAGCACCUUCUUCAGCUUCCGUGCCUGGAAAGGACUCGGCAGCAACGCAGCCACCAGCCAGGCGGCCAGCCAUGCGUGAGGCCGCCAUCAGUGGCGCUGUCCAUGGUGCUGCAGUCACGCCGAUCAGCGCUGUGCUCUCAGGUGACGGCGAGAUGCCGAGGGCCCGCCGAGGCUGAAGCUCCUGGUGGUCCUCACACGGUGCAGAGCAGCCAGCUGCUCACUGGAACACUUGUACCCAGGGGGCUCACCCCAUUGGGUGCACUCCAGUACUAACAUUCACUAAACCAAGCCCACGUGGCUGCCUGUGGUCAUGCACAGAUGCGGUGUAAAUAAUUGCAAUUAACUUCUGUCAGUGGGGGCAGAGCUGGAAGAUGAAGGCUAGGCCAAGAAAGAAGUCUAAACUGUUAUCACACUGAUCUUAACAAUAAAGAAGUCAAAGCACAGUUUUAUGCUUUAAAUAAAUAUCUUCCUAAAUCCAA
Molecule: long non-coding RNA, 3418 nt
Organism: Gallus gallus (chicken)
Lineage: Eukaryota; Metazoa; Chordata; Aves; Galliformes; Phasianidae
Exons: 2
Source: RefSeq, a predicted model, not a curated record